Molecule: ribosomal RNA, 433 nt
Filed under: uncultured bacterium
Lineage: Bacteria
Description: bacterial SSU rRNA
Rfam family: Bacterial small subunit ribosomal RNA
Source: RNAcentral
AGAGUUUGAUCAUGGCUCAGGACGAACGCUGGCGGCGCGCCUAACACAUGCAAGUCGAACGAGCGAGAGAGAGCUUGCUUUCUCGAGCGAGUGGCGAACGGGUGAGUAACGCGUGAGGAACCUGCCUCAAAGAGGGGGACAACAGUUGGAAACGACUGCUAAUACCGCAUAAGCCCACGGGUCGGCAUCGACCAGAGGGAAAAGGAGCAAUCCGCUUUGAGAUGGCCUCGCGUCCGAUUAGCUAGUUGGUGAGGUAAUGGCCCACCAAGGCGACGAUCGGUAGCCGGACUGAGAGGUUGAACGGCCACAUUGGGACUGAGACACGGCCCAGACUCCUACGGGAGGCAGCAGUGGGGAAUAUUGCACAAUGGGGGAAACCCUGAUGCAGCGACGCCGCGUGGAGGAAGAAGGUCUUCGGAUUGUAAACUCCUGU